GCAUGACAUUGUGUUUGGAUCCCUAAACUUGCUAGGGUUGGUUGACAAAAAGUCAAAACCGCUUUCAGUUUCAAACCGGUUCGGGUUUGGAGUGGUUUGAUCGGUUUUUUCUGGUUCGGGUGGGGUUCAGAUUGGUACAGGUUGGUCAACAAAAAGUAAAAAUCGGUUUCGGUUUCGAAUAAGUUGGAGCGGUUUUGAUCGGUUUUUGCAGGUCUGGUUCGAGUUCAAACCAGUUUCAAAUAAGAGGAAAUCCAAGGGCGUAGAUUUGUGGGGGCGGGAGGGGGCGGCCGACCCCCCGAACUUUUCGUUCAAUAGUGGGGAGUAGGUAGUUUUUGUAUAGAAAUUUUUUGGGUAUAUACGUUUUUGACCCCCCGGUUUUAUAGAAAUUUGUGUUAUUACGUUUUCAACCCCCCGGUCGGAAAUCUCAAGCUUCGCCACUGCCUCCAUCUUCACCUAAUCACAACAAACAACUAGACACCCAAACCCUAAAUUUAGCGCGGGAAAUCAUCAAUUCAGAAUCCCACCCCAUCAAUACAGAUGAAUUGGAGGAAGAAGAAGAAGAAGAAAGGAGUGAGGGAGAGGGUGAAUUAGGGUUUGAAAAGCUCACAAGAGCUCAGAGAAAAAGGCUUCGAAAGAAGAAGCUAAAAGAAGCUGCUUCUCACAGGAGACAGAUUAUCGGGCCGCAGUUGAAUCCGGAUCAUACGUGUGGUGAUCGAAUCGAUAGUGAAGGUAGUAGCGUUCGUGAAGAUGAAGAUAAACAUGAACAUGAACAUGAACGUCUGGAGGGUGUUCGACGAAAUGCCGCAGAGAAACCUUAGAGUGUUAUUGUCAUAUUAUACUGGAAAGAAUUAGUAUUGUAUUGUUAUUAUUUGGUAUUUGAUU
This 882-nucleotide long non-coding RNA is filed under the name Helianthus annuus (common sunflower). RNAcentral's name for it is "hypothetical non coding rna". The record is from RNAcentral. Lineage: Eukaryota; Viridiplantae; Streptophyta; Magnoliopsida; Asterales; Asteraceae.